CCAUGGCUCACGGGCCCAGCAGCUCCGCGGCAUGUGGGAUCUUCCCGGACCGAGGCACGAACCCGUGUCCCCUACAUCGGCAGGUGGACUCUCAACCACUGCGUUGGCUCCUUUUUAAACCAGCAAGUAGACAGUGUCCACUGAGCCCUCUGAGACAGACGACUGACUGUGGGGAAGCAGAGUGUCAUCGGAAUCCCAUCUCUACCCCUUGCUAAUCACAGUCCGCAGAGCCACAGACUGAAAACCCCUUGACAUACUUAAUGUUGAGAGUGAAAACGGCACCCUCGUACACACAGUCUUGAAUCCAGACCACGUUACAGUAAGCGAGCAGCCAGUGUGUUCUUGGGACUCCGAGCUAGAAAGAAGAAGUGCGGCGGAAGCACAUUCGUCUGCACAUGGAAAGCGCGCUGACUGCCCGGGACAAGGUCGGGGUGCAGGAUUUUGUGCUGUUGGAUGCCUACACCAGUGAAUCUGCUUUUCUGGACAACCUUCGCAAGCGUUUCAGCGAGAACCUCAUCUAUACAUAUAUUGGGACCCUCCUUGUGUCUGUGAACCCAUACCAGGAGCUUGGAAUCUACACUGUGAGCCAGAUGGAACUUUAUCAAGGGGUCAAUUUCUUUGAACUGCCACCGCAUGUCUACGCCAUAGCUGACAACGCUUACCGCAUGAUGUGCUCUGAGCUAAAUAACCACUUCAUCCUCAUUUCUGGAGAGAGCGGGGCAGGGAAAACGGAGGCCUCCAAGAAGAUUCUCCAGUAUUUUGCAGUGACCUGCCCAAUGACUGAGUCACUACAAAUAGCCCGUGACAGACUGCUACUCUCCAAUCCGGUGCUGGAGGCUUUUGGAAAUGCCAAAACACUCCGGAAUGACAACUCCAGCAGAUUUGGAAAAUACAUGGACAUACAGUUUGACUUUAAGGGCAUUCCUGUAGGCGGCCAUAUCAUCAGUUACUUGAUAGAAAAGUCUCGAGUCGUCUAUCAAAAUCAGGGUGAGCGGAAUUUCCACAUCUUCUACCAGCUGCUAGAGGGUGGAGAAGAAGAGCUCCUUGCUUACCUGGGACUUGAGCGAGAUCCCCAGCUGUAUAAAUACCUCUCACAGGGCCACUGUGCCAAAGAGUCGUCUAUUAAUGACAAGAACGACUGGAAAACUGUUUCCAAUGCCUUUUCUGUCAUCGAUUUUACUGAAGAUGAUCUUGAGAAUCUCUAUGGAAUUAUUGCCAGUGUCCUACACCUGGGGAACAUCUGUUUUGAAGCGAACCAGCAGGGCUGUGCCCGCAUACCAGACACCCACGAGAUCAAAUGGAUUGCCAAGCUCCUAGGGGUCAACCCAUGGGACCUUCUGGAAGCUCUCACCCAUAGAAAGAUUGAAGCCAAAACGGAGGAGGUGAUAUGCCCACUGACGCUAGAACUCUCUGCCUACGCUAGAGAUGCAAUGGCAAAGGCCGUUUACGGACGAACAUUUACUUGGCUGGUCAACAAAAUCAAUUCCUCCUUAGUGAACAAGGAUUACACUGGGAAAACGGUGAUUGGAUUGCUGGAUAUCUAUGGGUUUGAAGUCUUUGACAAGAAUGGUUUUGAACAGUUCUGUAUAAAUUACUGCAAUGAGAAACUCCAGCAACUAUUAAUUGAGAGAACCCUAAAAGCGGAACAGGCAGAAUAUGAAAUGGAAGGUAUAGAGUGGGAGCCAAUUCAGUAUUUCAACAACAAGAUCAUCUGUGACUUGGUAGAAGAGAGACACAAGGGAAUCAUUUCCAUUCUGGAUGAAGAAUGUAUUCGUCCUGGUCCUGCUACAGACUUGAGUUUCCUGGAGAGAUUGGAAGAGAAAGUGGGCAAGCACGCACACUUCCAAACCCGGAAGCUGGCAGGUCCAAAGUGCAGAAAGAGGAUUGGCUGGAUGGAGUUCCGGCUCUUCCACUAUGCAGGAGAGGUCACAUACUGCACCAAGGGAUUCUUGGAAAAAAACAAUGAUCUCCUCUACAGACAUCUGAAAGAAGUGCUGUGCAGGUCCAAAAACAGAAUCCUGAAGGACUGCUUCCGGGUGGCCGAGUUAGAAAACCGGAGAAGGCCACCAACAGUGGGGACUCAGUUUAAAAACAGUCUGAGCAGCCUUCUGGAAAUUCUCAUCUCUAAGGAACCUUCGUACAUCCGUUGCAUCAAGCCCAACGAGAGUAAAGAACCCAGCAAGUUCGAUGUCUUCCUCAUAAGGCAUCAGAUCAAGUACCUGGGGCUGAUGGAGCACCUGCGGGUGAGACGGGCUGGCUUUGCGUACCGACGGAAAUACGAGCAUUUCUUGCAAAGGUACAAGUCCUUGUGCCCAGACACCUGGCCGCACUGGCACGGGCCUCCAGCAGAGGGCGUAGAGCGGCUGAUCAAGUACAUUGGCUACAAACCCGAGGAGUACAAGUUAGGGAGAUCCAAAAUAUUCAUUCGCUUCCCCAGAACUCUGUUUGCUACUGAAGAUGCCUUUGAAUUUAGUAAACAUCAAUUAGUUGCGAGAAUCCAAGCCAUGUACAAAGGCUGCCUGGAAAGGAGAGCAUACGUGAGAAAAAGACAAGCAGCCAUUAAACUUGAAGCCCACUGGCGUGGAGCCCUGGCUCGGAAGGAGGCCAAAAGGAGAAAGUGGGCUGUGCAGAUUAUAAGAAAGUUCAUAAAGGGAUUCAUCCAUCGCAACAAGCCCCUCUGUCCUGACAAUGAGGAGUUCAUCGUGUUCGUGCGGAAGAAUUACAUCUUGAAUCUUCGGUAUCACGUCCCAGAGAACGUCUUGGACGACAGCUGGCUGAGGCCUCCUGGCCUCUUGGAAAAUGCAUCGAAUCUGCUCAGGAAAAUGUGCAUGAGGAACCUGGUCCGGAAGUACUGCCGAGGGAUCACAGCCGAGAGGAAAGCCCUGAUGCAGCAAAAGGUGGUUACAAGUGAAAUAUUCAGGGGAAAGAAAGAAGGCUAUGCAGAAAGCUUAAAUCAACCCUUUGCCGACAGCCGAAUAGAUGAAGGAGACAUUAAUCCCAAAGUGCUUCAGCUCAUCAGCAGUGAGAAAAUCCAGUACGGUAUCCCGGUCAUUAAAUACGACAGGAAAGGCUUCAAGACACGGCAGAGGCAACUCAUUCUCACUCAGAAAGCAGCUUACGUGGUGGAACUUGCCAAAAUCAAGCAGAAAAUAGAGUACCCUGCGCUCAAAGGUAAGCAGCAGGCAAUCUUCAGAAAACUCGCUGGGUUGACUCGGCCCCCGGGCACACCAGCAGCGCAGCAGCCGCUCACCGGAAGACCUAGGCGAAGCUGCCCACAAACCCAGGGCGGCCCGGGCUGCGCCUCUUACUCCGGCACAAACGCCAACGGCAUCUCACUCCGGCAUCCGGGUCGGACACUGGUCACCUUUGACAGGGACCAGCUGUUUUUCCGAGCACAGGUGCUGAUUGCAGGGCCACCCCACUUGGCCCAGCUAGGAGGGAAAAAGCCUGGGGUUGGGGACCCCCCAGGCAUGCCUUUUUUCUGUAUCAAUGUCAAGUUGUCCAGUUCUUGGCCUCUAACUUUGGAUCUGUCCUAAGGUGUCUCUACCAGCAGCUUCAGCGACGGAAUGGUAGUCAUUCACGUUUCGCCAGAAGGCAACAGGCAAAAGGUAACCUACGGCCACAGGGCUGCUAACAGAGGGAAACACUGCCAAAAUCUUUAGCGGCCCCCAGUGAAACCUCAGUGAUGUUCUUCUGUGAAGCCGCUACCACUGAGCCGGCCGUGUUCUCUCCUCUCCGCCGCAGGGGGAUGCCGUCUUACAGUGCAAACACAUAUUUGAGGCAGUUACCAAACUCGUCAUGCUGGCUAAGAAGGAGAACGUUGUAAAUGUUGUUCAAGGAAGGUAGGUGGUUUCGUCUGUACUCAGGAAGUCAUUCAAUGUUAAGUGUCUAUUAACAGAUCAAGGAAGACGCAAAUGUUAAUCGUUUCACCCAGGCCUGCCCCUCCCCGCAAAGUAAGAACUGCCUACCCACAAGGGGUUGGGGGUACCCUUGCCCCCUCCGAUCACCAGCUUUCUUCCCUCCUCACCCCCUAGGACUUGGGCUCCACAGAAAUGAAGUCAGUGAUCACUUAUUCACCAAAGGGAAUGAACAGUGGUCUCACCAUCUAGUUUUCAAAGGAGGUGCUUAUGGUCCUAAGGGAAUUUGUCACCCAGUGAAAGGGGGACCCACCCUGGGCGAGAGCAGGUGCCAGCCACACCUCUGCUGCUCAUGCCUGUGGAAGAACUGUGCUAAACCGAUUUGAAAAUAACUACAGGAAGGCGUGGCCAUUUUCCCAGUUGCAGAAACGGUUUUCUUUCAAUUACUCAAAUAUACAAUAAAACUCUGUAAUGAAACAGGAAUUUGAUCUCGAAACUAGUAAGCGUCACAGGUGAAUUUCUUUUGCAGGCCCACAGCUGAAGGAAAAAAUAGAGUAUGCCAGUAAUUUAUCACUUUGUGUAUUUUAAGUUUACAGUUUUAUAUUAGUCCUGGAAAAGAAGGCACAAUAGUUUUUGACACCGGACCAGAAGAACAAAUCUAUAAAGAUAAAAACGGACAGUUAACAGUGGUGUCGGUCCGCAGGAAGUCCUGAUGGAGGAUGACGUCUGAUCUCUCCCAUCGCCGUUUCUGCUGCAACUGAGGAAAGCUCGAAUUUGGUCCAGUUAGCGCCACCUUCAAGCAAAGUUUCCAGCAGCUCUAGGAAAAGGAUCGUCCCUGAAGAAGCAGAGUGGCAUCUUAUGCCAAAGGCCAAACCCUCAGGUGUUCCGUCGCACUACAUGUUCUCUUUAGGGAGCCAACCUCAAGUCACCCAAGGGGGUGAUUUUAAACAUCCCCAAUAGGACCUACACUUGAUGGGCACUUGAACAUGUCAGUAUGGGGGGAUGACAGAUUCUCUUUGUCAUGCUGCCCCUGGGGCACAAUGAAGUAUUAUACGUGGUCUGAGAGCAUAAAGCUGCAAAAUCUGAAUUUUGCUUUAAAUAAAUGGAACUCAGAAACAUACCCAGUUCCUGCAUGGCUUUAGGCUCCACAUGGUGAGGUGUAGCUCUCCCCACCCCAAACCUGCAGUCGGAGGCAACAGCAGCCGACCGCUGUUUCACAAGCCCAGCAGCAUUUCCACCCAAGACUUCCUUCCAGUGUUUGAGUUCAAACACUACGGAAAAAUGACUCAUCUUUUCCACCCUGAGCAGCAACCUUUAGGUGGUGAAGUAGAAGGUGGGAUCUCUGCUCUCUUUCCUGUGAACUGCACUUCAGUUCAGUGGCUGGACUGUGCUGGGCAUUUCUGAAAAGACCCAGAAAAACAGAUUUAAGUAGAAGCGUUAUAUAACUUUUAUUUUACAUAUGUCCACAGAUGCUUGUACAACACACAGUGACUCCUUCUGAAGCUCAUAGCGUUUUUUUCCAUGGCACAAAGAGACAGAAAGGUUAGUGACACACACGUGUUACAGUGACCCUGGGUGGAGCCCUAGAAAACACAUUCCAGAGGGAGGGCCAGGGUACCUGCACAGCGACCGCCCUGCUAAGUAAGCCACUACAGGAGGACGAUGGAGAGGCAAGGUCCCCAGUCACCACAAUCAGAUGACUUAUUUGAAAAAAAGCCUCAUUACGAGGGACCCAAAGCUGUUCUGCUUUUUCCAUUGUAAGUUAUUACAGUGUAAUAAAACUUAGCUCUUCACCAAA
RNA transcript from Lagenorhynchus albirostris (white-beaked dolphin), 5655 nucleotides. It is a transcript of the gene named myosin IH, with no coding region annotated. NCBI's taxonomy places the organism in Eukaryota, Metazoa, Chordata, Mammalia, Artiodactyla, Delphinidae. The transcript is spliced from 30 exons. The record is from RefSeq and is a predicted model, not a curated record.